GGAGAGUUGGCCGAGCGGUAAGGCAACGCGGUGCUAACGCGUCGAGUCCUUCGGGACGCACAGGUUCGAUCCCUGUACUCUCCGCCA
This 87-nucleotide transfer RNA is filed under the name Bradyrhizobium jicamae. RNAcentral's name for it is "tRNA-Ser". It matches the Rfam family "tRNA". Rfam says of the family: Transfer RNA (tRNA) molecules are approximately 80 nucleotides in length. RNAcentral also lists the same sequence under 5 other names. The record is from RNAcentral. Lineage: Bacteria; Pseudomonadati; Pseudomonadota; Alphaproteobacteria; Hyphomicrobiales; Nitrobacteraceae.